RNAcentral lists this unclassified non-coding RNA (229 nucleotides) under plant metagenome. RNAcentral's name for it is "partial contains small subunit ribosomal RNA, internal transcribed spacer 1, and 5.8S ribosomal RNA". The record is from RNAcentral.
UCUCCGUAGGUGAACCUGCGGAGGGAUCAUUACAGAGUUCAUGCCCUAUCGGGUAGAUCUCCCACCCUAUGUUAUUAUUACUUUGUUGCUUUGGCGGGCCGUUAGGCUCCGGCCCGACUACCGGCCCCGGCUGGUAAGCGCCCGCCAGAGGACCCAAAACCCUGAAUAUUAGUGUCGUCUGAGUACUAUAUAAUAGUUAAAACCUUCAACAACGGAUCUCUUGGUUCUG